ACGGAGCCCUUGGCAGAAGAACGGUAACAGCAAUGAGCUGAGGUUGGGGGAUCAGUUAAAGGAGAGGAGAAAUAAGUACUGAGUUGCAGGCUAGUUGCCAGAGACGACAGGCAUGCGGGAAGCAUUUGGGGAGCGGAACCAAGGAGCGAGGCCGCGUGCACGGGGAGCAGGAUAAGCCGCAGCACUGAGAGGGGAGGAGGAGACACCAACACCCAAUAACGCGGGGACGCUAGAUCCAUCCGCCAUAGAAGCUUGACACUUCAACUUCUGCCAGGUGGAGCAGGAUGCUCAAUGCCGUCUCACCAUGUGCGGGCACAGCUCACCACAGCACACAGCUGCCUAUGGAGCAGAGGAGGCUAACUCUGUGUUACGUCCCACACAAAGGCAGGCAGUAGGAGACAACUCCAGGGUCGCAAGAAAAUUUUAUGAGUUUGUUUUGCAGAAGGAAUGGAUGCCCCUGAAAAAGCUGUGACUAGCUGCUGACGCCCAGAAGUCUGGUUACUCAAAGCAUUAUCUGAGACUAAAAACAACACAGACAUCCCUCUACCUUAUCCCAACCCCACAUACAAGCUUGAUGCCACAUCUCUGUGAGAAGAUCUGAGAGACUUUUUCUCUUGCUUUGGCUGAAUAGAAUCAACAUUUCUCUAGCUCCAAGCACCGGCAUCAAAACAUUUAUCUUUAGCUGCACACUGGGUACACGAGCCUGAAUUUAGGGUUCUACAACAUUUUCAAAACAGGCUUGAGACCCAUGAGAAGGGCAUCAAAAAAAA
Microcebus murinus (gray mouse lemur) is the source of this 770-nucleotide non-coding RNA. Lineage: Eukaryota; Metazoa; Chordata; Mammalia; Primates; Cheirogaleidae. The record is from RefSeq and is a predicted model, not a curated record.